RNAcentral lists this ribosomal RNA (373 nucleotides) under uncultured Bacteroidota bacterium. RNAcentral describes it as "bacterial SSU rRNA". It matches the Rfam family "Bacterial small subunit ribosomal RNA", at positions 521 to 896 of the family's 1533-position model. The record is from RNAcentral. Lineage: Bacteria; Pseudomonadati; Bacteroidota.
UAAUACGGAGGGUCCAAGCGUUAUCCGGAAUCAUUGGGUUUAAAGGGUUCGCAGGCGGUUUCUUAAGUCAGUGGUGAAAUCCUACAGCUCAACUGUAGAACUGCCAUUGAUACUGAGAAACUUGAAUAUAGUUGAAGUAGGCGGAAUGCGUAGUGUAGCGGUGAAAUGCUUAGAUAUUACACAGAACACCGAUAGCGAAGGCAGCUCACUAAACUAUUAUUGACGCUCAUGAACGAAAGCGUGGGGAGCGAACAGGAUUAGAUACCCUGGUAGUCCACGCCGUAAACUAUGAUUACUCGAUAUUGGCGAUAUACUGUCAGUGUCUAAGCGAAAGUGAUAAGUAAUCCACCUGGGGAGUACGGUCGCAAGAUUG